Molecule: ribosomal RNA, 274 nt
Filed under: uncultured bacterium
Lineage: Bacteria
Description: partial 16S ribosomal RNA
Rfam family: Bacterial small subunit ribosomal RNA
Source: RNAcentral
CUACGGAGGGUGCAAGCGUUACUCGGAAUCACUGGGCGUAAAGCGCGCGCAGGCGGUCUUUUAAGUUGGAUGUGAAAGCCUACGGCUCAACCGUAGAACUGCAUCCAAAACUAUUAGACUAGAGUGUGGGAGAGGAAGAUGGAAUUAGUUGUGUAGGGGUAAAAUCCGUAGAGAUAACUAGGAAUACCAAAAGCGAAGGCAAUCUUCUGGAACACUACUGACGCUGAGGCGCGAAAGCGUGGGGAGCAAACAGGAUUAGAAACCCUUGUAGUCC